GGGUUGUGAGGUUAAGCGACUAAGCGUACACGGUGGAUGCCCUGGCAGUCAGAGGCGAUGAAGGACGUGCUAAUCUGCGAUAAGCGUCGGUAAGGUGAUAUGAACCGUUAUAACCGGCGAUUUCCGAAUGGGGAAACCCAGUGUGUUCCGACACACUAUCAUUACGUGAAUACAUAGCGUAAUGAAGCGAACCGGGGGAACUGAAACAUCUAAGUACCCCGAGGAAAAGAAAUCAACCGAGAUUCCCCCAGUAGCGGCGAGCGAACGGGGAGCAGCCCAGAGUCUGAAUCAGCUUGUGUGUUAGUGGAACGGUCUGGAAAGUCCGACGGUACAGGGUGAUAGUCCCGUACACCAAAAUGCACAGGUUGUGAACUCGAAGAGUAGGGCGGGACACGUGGUAUCCUGUCUGAAUAUGGGGGGACCAUCCUCCAAGGCUAAAUACUCCUGACUGACCGAUAGUGAACCAGUACCGUGAGGGAAAGGCGAAAAGAACCCCGGCGAGGGGAGUGAAAAAGAACCUGAAACCGUGUACGUACAAGCAGUGGGAGCCUCUUUAUGGGGUGACUGCGUACCUUUUGUAUAAUGGGUCAGCGACUUAUAUUCUGUAGCAAGGUUAACCGUAUAGGGGAGCCGAAGGGAAACCGAGUCUUAACUGGGCGUUAAGUUGCAGGGUAUAGACCCGAAACCCGGUGAUCUAGCCAUGGGCAGGUUGAAGGUUGGGUAACACUAACUGGAGGACCGAACCGACUAAUGUUGAAAAAUUAGCGGAUGACUUGUGGCUGGGGGUGAAAGGCCAAUCAAACCGGGAGAUAGCUGGUUCUCCCCGAAAGCUAUUUAGGUAGCGCCUCGUGAACUCAUCUUCGGGGGUAGAGCACUGUUUCGGCUAGGGGGUCAUCCCGACUUACCAACCCGAUGCAAACUGCGAAUACCGAAGAAUGUUAUCACGGGAGACACACGGCGGGUGCUAACGUCCGUCGUGAAGAGGGAAACAACCCAGACCGCCAGCUAAGGUCCCAAAGUCAUGGUUAAGUGGGAAACGAUGUGGGAAGGCACAGACAGCCAGGAUGUUGGCUUAGAAGCAGCCAUCAUUUAAAGAAAGCGUAAUAGCUCACUGGUCGAGUCGGCCUGCGCGGAAGAUGUAACGGGGCUAAACCAUGCACCGAAGCUGCGGCAGCGACACUAUGUGUUGUUGGGUAGGGGAGCGUUCUGUAAGCCGUUGAAGGUGUAUCGUGAGGUAUGCUGGAGGUAUCAGAAGUGCGAAUGCUGACAUAAGUAACGAUAAUGCGGGUGAAAAACCCGCACGCCGGAAGACCAAGGGUUCCUGUCCAACGUUAAUCGGGGCAGGGUGAGUCGACCCCUAAGGCGAGGCCGAAAGGCGUAGUCGAUGGGAAACAGGUUAAUAUUCCUGUACUUGGUGUUACUGCGAAGGGGGGACGGAGAAGGCUAUGUUAGCCGGGCGACGGUUGUCCCGGUUUAAGCAUGUAGGCGGAGGUUCCAGGUAAAUCCGGUACCUUUUAACGCUGAGGUGUGAUGACGAGGCACUACGGUGCUGAAGUAACAAAUGCCCUGCUUCCAGGAAAAGCCUCUAAGCAUCAGGUAACACGAAAUCGUACCCCAAACCGACACAGGUGGUCAGGUAGAGAAUACCAAGGCGCUUGAGAGAACUCGGGUGAAGGAACUAGGCAAAAUGGUGCCGUAACUUCGGGAGAAGGCACGCUGAUAUGUAGGUGAAGCGGUUUACCCGUGGAGCUGAAAUCAGUCGAAGAUACCAGCUGGCUGCAACUGUUUAUUAAAAACACAGCACUGUGCAAACACGAAAGUGGACGUAUACGGUGUGACGCCUGCCCGGUGCCGGAAGGUUAAUUGAUGGGGUUAUCCGUAAGGAGAAGCUCUUGAUCGAAGCCCCGGUAAACGGCGGCCGUAACUAUAACGGUCCUAAGGUAGCGAAAUUCCUUGUCGGGUAAGUUCCGACCUGCACGAAUGGCGUAAUGAUGGCCAGGCUGUCUCCACCCGAGACUCAGUGAAAUUGAACUCGCUGUGAAGAUGCAGUGUACCCGCGGCAAGACGGAAAGACCCCGUGAACCUUUACUAUAGCUUGACACUGAACACUGGUCCUUGAUGUGUAGGAUAGGUGGGAGGCUUUGAAGUGUGGACGCCAGUCUGCAUGGAGCCAUCCUUGAAAUACCACCCUUUAAUGGCUGGUGUUCUAACGUGGACCCGUGAUCCGGGUUGCGGACAGUGUCUGGUGGGUAGUUUGACUGGGGCGGUCUCCUCCUAAAGAGUAACGGAGGAGCACGAAGGUUAGCUAAUCCUGGUCGGACAUCAGGAGGUUAGUGCAAAGGCAUAAGCUAGCUUGACUGCGAGAGUGACGGCUCGAGCAGGUGCGAAAGCAGGUCUUAGUGAUCCGGUGGUUCUGAAUGGAAGGGCCAUCGCUCAACGGAUAAAAGGUACUCCGGGGAUAACAGGCUGAUACCGCCCAAGAGUUCAUAUCGACGGCGGUGUUUGGCACCUCGAUGUCGGCUCAUCACAUCCUGGGGCUGAAGUAGGUCCCAAGGGUAUGGCUGUUCGCCAUUUAAAGUGGUACGCGAGCUGGGUUUAGAACGUCGUGAGACAGUUCGGUCCCUAUCUGCCGUGGGCGCUGGAGAAUUGAGGGGGGCUGCUCCUAGUACGAGAGGACCGGAGUGGACGCAUCACUGGUGUUCGGGUUGUCAUGCCAAUGGCAUUGCCCGGUAGCUAAAUGCGGAAGAGAUAAGUGCUGAAAGCAUCUAAGCACGAAACUUGCCCCGAGAUGAGUUCUCCCUGAGACUAUAAGUCUCCUGAAGGAACGUUAAAGACGAUGACGUUGAUAGGUCGGGUGUGUAAGUGUAGCGAUACAUUGAGCUAACCGAUACUAAUGAACCGUGAGGCUUAACCUUACAACGCCGAAG
This 2927-nucleotide ribosomal RNA is filed under the name Citrobacter freundii. RNAcentral's name for it is "23S ribosomal RNA". It matches the Rfam family "Bacterial large subunit ribosomal RNA". Lineage: Bacteria; Pseudomonadati; Pseudomonadota; Gammaproteobacteria; Enterobacterales; Enterobacteriaceae. The record is from RNAcentral.